This 481-nucleotide ribosomal RNA is filed under the name uncultured bacterium. RNAcentral's name for it is "partial 16S ribosomal RNA". It matches the Rfam family "Bacterial small subunit ribosomal RNA", at positions 46 to 523 of the family's 1533-position model. The record is from RNAcentral.
GCUUAACACAUGCAAGUCGAGCGAGAAUCGUUUAUUGAAGGCUUCGGCUGGAAAUAGAUGAGGAAAGCGGCGAACGGGUGAGUAACGCGUGGGCAACCUGGCCUUAAGAAAAGGAUAGCCCCCGGAAACGGGGAGUAAUACUUUAUGAGAAUGAAAGAGGGCAUCCUACUUUCAUUCAAAGCGCAAGCGCUUAAGGAUGGGCCCGCGUAUCAUUAGCUAGUUGGUGAGAUAACAGCCCACCAAGGCAACGAUGAUUAGACGGUCGGAGAGAGCGAACGGCCACAUUGGAGAUGAGAACCGGUCCAAACUCCUACGGGAGGCAGCAGUGGGGAAUAUUGCGCAAUGGAGAAGAACGCUGACGCAGCAAUACCGCGUGAGCGAAGAAGGUCUUCGGAUCGUAAAGCUCUGUUAUCAGGGAAGAAGAAAAUGACGGUACCUGAUGAGCAAGUCCCGGCUAACUACGUGCCAGCCGCCGCAGUAA